This 180-nucleotide ribosomal RNA is filed under the name uncultured bacterium. Its description in RNAcentral is "partial 16S ribosomal RNA". It matches the Rfam family "Bacterial small subunit ribosomal RNA", at positions 331 to 508 of the family's 1533-position model. The record is from RNAcentral.
CCAGACUCCUACGGGAGGCAGCAGUGAGGAAUAUUGGUCAAUGGACGAGAGUCUGAACCAGCCAAGUAGCGUGCAGGAUGACGGCCCUAUGGGUUGUAAACUGCUUUUAUAAGGGAAUAAAGUGAGAGUCGUGACUCUUUUUGCAUGUACCUUAUGAAUAAGGACCGGCUAAUUCCGUGC